RNAcentral lists this transfer RNA (82 nucleotides) under Citrobacter freundii. RNAcentral's name for it is "tRNA-Pro". The record is from RNAcentral. Lineage: Bacteria; Pseudomonadati; Pseudomonadota; Gammaproteobacteria; Enterobacterales; Enterobacteriaceae.
UGGCACAUAGCAGUCCUAAAGUUGUUUGCACACCGUCAUGGGGUGUCGGGGGUCGGAGGUUCAAAUCCUCUCGUGCCGACCA